AAAUGAGAUAAGAGAUAAGUCAGAUCCCAGCCAAAUUCCCAAAUUUCAAUUUCGAACCUCUCCUUUCAUUUUCUUUUAUCCUUCCAAAACCCUCCUCUCCCACAUGUCACGUGUAUCUUCUCACUCACAUUACUGUCUGCGACGACACUGACUCGGAGAAAGGACGCAGCUGACAGCCCUCCUCAAGAAAUCGUUUUGCAGAUUAAAAUUGCGAAAGAAAAAACACUCAUAGGCCUCAAAUCAGCAACAGAAGUUCGAACUGAAGGCAAAUAGGCAAUCGUUGAAAUGAAGAAAGAAGGAACCGAGGAAACAAGCAUGGAGAUGGUGAAGUUGUUUUUGGAGAAAAAAGGUGAAAUGGCAGUCGCCAUGGAUACUCUGCCGGACAAGUUCUUCGAGCCCUUUAUCAUGAAGGGCGUCAAAAUCGACCUCCUUGAACCCGGACGCAUUGUUUGCUCCUUCAAGGUGCCCCCGCGUCUGCUGAACGGGGGCAAUUUCAUGCACGGCGGAGCCACAGCAACCCUUGUGGAUUUGGUAGGAUCAGCUGCACUCCUCUCCUCCGGAGCUCUCAACGUUGGAGUUUCGGUGGAGAUCAAUGUGUCGUACUUGGAUUCGGCUUAUCCCGGCGAGGAUGUUGAGAUCGAGUCCAGGACGUUACGUGUUGGAAAAAGUGUUGGUGUUGUGAGUGUUGAGUUCAGGAAGAAGAAGACUGGGAAGAUUAUCGCGCAGGGCCGUCAUACCAAGUACCUCGCUGUUUCUAGCAAACUGUGAACAGCUUGGAAUUUGAACGAGACAUUACUCGGUCAGUAUUACGUAAAAGAUUUCUCGACGUCGAAUAAUUUUCUCUGCAGUGAAUUGUAAUGCAAGCAAUGAUCAAUUGAAUCUCUCAGAUUGAUACAAAUAGUUAACAAUAAUUUGUUAGAUCGUAAAAAGAUCCAAUCUU
Molecule: non-coding RNA, 940 nt
Organism: Malus domestica (apple)
Lineage: Eukaryota; Viridiplantae; Streptophyta; Magnoliopsida; Rosales; Rosaceae
Source: RefSeq, a predicted model, not a curated record